This 23-nucleotide small nuclear RNA is filed under the name Arabidopsis thaliana (thale cress). RNAcentral describes it as "snRNA_17611". Lineage: Eukaryota; Viridiplantae; Streptophyta; Magnoliopsida; Brassicales; Brassicaceae. The record is from RNAcentral.
GUAGAUGUUAUCGCAGCUAAAAU